This 318-nucleotide ribosomal RNA is filed under the name Triticum aestivum (bread wheat). RNAcentral's name for it is "partial small subunit ribosomal RNA". Lineage: Eukaryota; Viridiplantae; Streptophyta; Magnoliopsida; Poales; Poaceae. The record is from RNAcentral.
AUGGCGUCCGUGAAGCUCGCCGCCGCGCUCGCUCUUGUAGCCGUGUGCGCCGCGCUCGCGGCGACGCCGGCCACGGCGUUCCCGCCCGAGAGCUGCGCGACGCAGGGCAGCUACUUCAUCAACUGCCUUCGCCGCGGGUUCGGCGAGAGGUGCUGCGCCAUGGUGGAGAACCCCAGGUGCUUCUGCCAGGUGGAGCGGGAGGCCGAGAUCCGCUGCGUGCCCGGGCGGAGCUGCCCCAGCCGUGGCAUUGCCAAGGUCGUGAAGGUCGCCGAGAUGCACCUCUCCUGCAUGAGGAACCUCAAGUGCAAGCGUGCCUAA